Molecule: transfer RNA, 67 nt
Filed under: Geloina coaxans
Lineage: Eukaryota; Metazoa; Mollusca; Bivalvia; Venerida; Cyrenidae
Description: tRNA-Met
Source: RNAcentral
UAAAGAGUAAACUAAGUAAGUUUUUUGGUUCAUACCCAAAGUAUAGAGGUGUUAUCUCUCUCUUUUA